This 35631-nucleotide long non-coding RNA is filed under the name Octopus vulgaris (common octopus). The stretch from base 28136 to 28207 matches the Rfam family "tRNA". The record is from RNAcentral. Lineage: Eukaryota; Metazoa; Mollusca; Cephalopoda; Octopoda; Octopodidae.
GAUUUUCUCGGACCCUCUUACUUUUGUAAUGCCUAAGAGAUAUUUUACUUAUUGACAGUAAGUUGAUAUUGGUCAUGUUUGUUAUUUUGAAAACACCCUUGUUAUUUAGUACUAUACUGCACCUUUAUGAGGUUGUUAUUAAUAACUUAGUGUAUAUAUUAGAGAGAGAGAGGGAGACUGUGUGGUGAGUUGGCGGACCCAGUACAGUGCCGGGACUGAAUAUAAUUUGUCUUUAGUCUUGAUAUUUUCACUGGUAGACUUCAGGUAAUGUUCAAUUAAACUUCUGCAUGAUAGUUAACUCAGAUAACAUACAGUAAUUAUUUACUAGUUUCGUUUCGUUCCUCAAUAUUCGGGUUUCGGAUUUCAUUGCGGGCGAUAAAAACAAAGUACCCAACAUGAAAACAGCUGAUUCUUAUACGUUUACGUCAUUUUUGCUAAUAAAAGAGGCGAAGUUAAAGAAUACACACACCCGGUAUGUAGUGUAAGGGGUUAGGGUUACGUCGAAAACGGGUGGUGUGCGUGGAGAUAGAUAGAUAUUCACACUUGUCAUUUCUCAAUUCUGAGUUCAAACCCCAGUUGUAUCGUCUCUUGUGUUAACCACGGUUUUAACCACUCUAGGGACUAAUAAAAUGGUGGUGAGUUGUCGGACACGGUGCAGUGCCGGGACUUAAUACACUUCGUCGUAAUAUUAAGUGUUGAUAUCCACCGUUAGUAGGAUAUAAAGGUUGUCCUAUCGUAUUCAAUCUUGUCAUUUUUACGGUCUGAGUUCAAGCCAUGUUAAAGAGACUUUUACAGCAUAGAUAACUAAAACGGCAUAGAGACUUUAUUUAGUUUUAUUUCGUUCCUCGAUAUUCGGGUUUCGAACCUUGCUGCAGGUAAUGAAAGUCGAUAUCAAGCAUAAGAAAAACCGGCAAUCCUAAAUGUGUAUUCGAGCGUGUAUUUCACUCAUCAGCUGGUUCGUGGACAUAAAAGACAAUGAGUACGCGAGUGUGGACCGCGUAUGUUUACCUUUUUUUUUUUAGAAGUAUGCAUGUUUGUGUGUAUAUAUAUAUAUAUAUAUACAAAAAAAUUUUUUUACAAAAUAGGCGCAUGGUUCCGGGUUCAGUCCCACUGCGUGAUACCUUGGGCAAGUGUCUUCUACUAUAGACUCGGGCCGACCAAAAGCCUUGUGAGUGGGAUUGGUAGACGGAAACUGAAAGAAGCGCGUCGUAUAUAUGUAUAUGUGUAUAUAUAUAUAACGGGAAGGUUUACGAAAAUAAACAAAAGACGAAGGCAGGUGGAGUACAAACAAACAAAUGUAUUAGUAUGGCGCUCAGGAACAGAAAUAGAACAAGUCUUUUACGUUUCGAGCCUACGCUCUUCGACAGAAAGAUACACAGAAAAAAAAACAAGGAGAGAAAAAAAUGCGUGUAGGAGCUAACGAUCUAUCAUGUGUGUGUGUUUGUGUGUCUGUGUUUGCCCCCACCCCCAACAUCGCUUGACAACAGAUGCUGGUGUGUUUACGUCUCCGUAACUUAGCGGUUCGGCAAAAGAGACCGAUAGAAUAAGUACUUGGCUUACAAAGAAUAAGUCCUGGGGGCGAUUUCCUCAACUAAAGGCGGUGCUUCAGCAUGGCCGCAGUCAAAUGACUGAAACAAGUAAAAGAGUAAAUUGCCGAUUUUCAUUUUCGCUUUGGCGAAACCAUCUCCGAAGGACACCUCUAUUCUUAUAAGUUCCCGUCACUAUGCCAAUGAAAGAAAAAUAUUAAGACUUGUCAUUUCUCAAUUCUAGGCUUAAAUUCCUUUGGCAUUAACCACUCCAAGGUAUUGAUAAAAUAGUUAAUUAAUAUGCUACACAGUGUCACCCUUUCCUCUACAAAUACAUAUAUACAUAAAUGUAUAUAUGUAUAUACACAUACAUAUGGCUGUACAUAUAUACACACACGCACGCACAUCAAUUCUUCCGCUUCGCAUCAACUUCAAGAGAGUUGUAAGAUCGCCCAAUAUUACAUGAGCACUUUAUAACGUUUCUUUCUUUGCUGGCAACUCGCCGCGGACUACCACUUUGAGAAGCUCUGGUCUGUUAUACCCGUUCAGUGCUUAAAGGGAGAUAAUUCUUAACGCAUGGAAGAGUUAUCUAUCUUGAUAUAUUUUAUUUAUUUAUUAAAAUAUAUUUGCAAAAUAAUCCUUUCUAAUUUAGGCACAAAGCCUGGAGUUUGGUGGGAGAGGGUGCCAGUUGAUUAGAUCGACUUCAGUACACAACUGGUACUUAAUUUAUCGACCCCGAAAGGAUGAGAGGCAAAGUUGAACGUAGCGACGGGUGAAAUACCUAUUUCUUUACUACCCACAAGGGGCUAAACACAGUGAGGACAAACAAGGACAGACAAACGGAUUAAGUCGAUUAUACCGACCCCAGUACGUAACUGGUACUUAAUUUAUCAACCCCCGAAAGGAUGAAAGGCAAAGUGAACCUCGGCGGAAUUUGAACCCAGAACGUAGCGGCAGACGAAAUACCGCAAAGCAUUUCGUCCAGCUUGCUAACGAUUCUGUCAGCUCGCCUCUUUAUUUAUUUGUGAAAUAAUAAUCUCAGAUCCAUCUUCGCUAUGUCUUCAGAACGGUAAAACGAAAUGGUUGGCAUCUCUCAUUUGUAGUGAAUUUAUAUUCUACCAAACAUAAUACUAAUAAUUGUUUCUACUAUAGACACAAGGCCUGGAAUUUGUGGGUCAGGUGGAUAGUCGAUUACAUCGACCCCAGUAUUUGACUGGUACUUAAAUUUAUCGAUACUGAAAGGAUGAAAAGCAAAGUCGACCUCGGCGGAAUUUGAACGCAGAGCUAAGCAUUUCGCCCAGCUCACUGCCUUAGUAAUAAUAAUUCUUUCUGCUAUAGGUAGAAGGCUAACAAUUUUGAAGAGAGGGGAGGCAGUUGAUAUUUUAUUUUAUCAAACCCCAUAAAGGUGUUUGGCAAAGAUGACCCCAACGGGAUUUGAACUCAGAACUUCAAGUGUUGUACGAUUUACUACUAGACAUUACUCCAACGUUCUAACAAUUCUGCCAAUAAAAUGUUUCUGAUUUAGACUCAAUGCCAACAGAUUUGACAGGAAGGGUUUUGUUCAUUCCAUCGACCCCAGUACUUGACUGGUACUUUAUUUUAUGGACCUAAAAGGAGGAAAUACAAAGUUGGCCUGGUUGGGAUUUGAUCCCAGAAGGUAAAGAUCUGGAAGGCAUUUUUGUCUCAUGCUUUAAUCAUUCUACCAAUUCGCUACCUUUAUCGCCCUGCUGCUUUCCUCUCGCUGGGGAAGAAAGGCAGUGUUCCUCUGUCUGGUGGCUAUGGCAAAGGAAGUUGCAUGGUGGAUGAGACUGAAAGGACUGAAGACUGAUAUUUUCCUUUUCGGCUGAGCCCUUGUCGAAGUUUUCAAGUGAGAGUUGAGAGGGAAGUUCUGCCCCACCCCCAGUAAAUUUGUUGAAAGGUGGGUGAAUGUGGUGAGGAUGGCUCGUGUAAAUGGGCCUACUCUGAACCUUUGUUAACUGGAGAAGUUGAGAUGGAGAGAAGUGCCUGCUGAGGUGCAUCUGGCAAACGGGAUAACCAGAAUGUGUGGGGUUCCUCAGUUGUCUCUGUAAGGGACUCCCCAUUUUAGGGGGAUUUUAUUGUUUAAUUGUAUUGUUAAUUGCCAUUGUCUGUUUUGUGUUUGGCCAUUAUAACCAAUAAAGAAACUGUUAUUAUUAUUAUUAUUAUUAUUAUUAUUGGGUAACCGUGUAUUUUCUUUGCGGUAGUAUACCUGUUUCUGUCUUCAUUCCUGAUCUUUCUCUCUCCAGCCAGGUAACCUUGUACUUCCUCUACAGCAAGACACCUGUAUCUGUCUCACUAUAACCUUUUAUUCACCACCUCCUUCAAUGCUUCCUCUCCUCUUAAAAGAUUUUGUUUUGCAAGUACUUGGUGACCUUGUCAGUGCAGGUGCCACUUAAAAGCACCCGGUCCACACUGUAAAGUGGUUGGUGUUCGGAAGGGCAUCCAGCUGUAAAAACCUUACCAAAACUGACCUCACCUGUGCUUGUGCCACAUAAAAAGCACUAAAUCCACUCUGCUGAGUGGUUGGUGUUAGGAAGGGACCCAGGUGUAAAAACCUUGCCAAAACUGACCUCACCUGUGCUUGUGCCACAUAAAAAGCACUAAGUCCACUCUGCUGAGGGGUUGGUGUUAGGAAGGGACCCAGCUGUUAAUUCCUGCCGAAACAGUCACAGAAGCCUGGUGCAGGCUUUGGCCUGGCCGGCUCUUGUAGUACUAUCCCACCCCUGCUAACAUGGAACAUGGACGUUUAAUAAUGAUGAUGAUGAUUAAGAUAAUUAACUGGCAGAAUUGUUUGCACAUCAGGCGAAAUGCAUAGUAGCAUAUUUUCCAGCUCUUUACAAUCUGGUUUAAAUUCCACCAAGGUCAUCUCUGCUGUUCUUCCAUUUGGAGUCAAUAAAAUAAGCAUCAGUUAAACCCUGGAGUUGAUGUAAUCAAGUAUCAUCAUCCCCUAAAAUGUCACGCUUUGUGUCCAUAAUAGAAAGGGUUCUUCUUCUUCUUCCUCCUCCCUUCUUUUUCUUCUUGAAUGAGAGAGCAGUGCAUGCCAUUAAAAUGACACUGGGGUAAAAUAUAUACGAAGCCCAGCAUACCCAUCGUGACUACCCACCUGAUAAGGGUACACCAGGCACAUGCAUCACAACCCAAUGUGCAUAAUAUGGUGAUCUGAUAUUAAGACAAACAACGCAUGCUCUUGCAGGUGGGGCCCAGUUAGAAUUUUCUUCAGGUUGUGUAACCCAUCUUGCUCAAAAGGUCCCUGAAUAAGGGUUGUUUAAGGAUGAUGAACAAAACACCCAUGUUUCCAGAAGUGUAUCAUUCAAACUCCGAAGAAUUCUUCUCAACACAUGGCUAUGAUGCUCCCUCACUAUUUCUGCUCAUGAUCAAAGAUGCACAUAUUUUCAGCCACCAAGGGACAUGCUCAACUGGUUACGGUCAAACAACUACUGAAAAGCAAAUUUGUGGUAUUGAGCAGAACAUUUGCUGUUGUCCAUCUUUUAUACCAAGAGAAAUCAAUAUGAUAACGCUUCCAAUUGGUUAAGAUCAGAAGCCAUGAGAGACACUGCCUGGCACUGCAUCAGUGCUAUUAUCAUUAUUAUUAUUAUUAAGACGGCAAGCUAGCAGAACAGUUCACAUGCUGGGCAAAAUGCUUUGCUGCAUGUUGCCUGUCUUUACAUUCUGAGUUCAAAUGCUGCUGGGUCGACUUUGCCUUUCAUCUGUUUAGGUCGAUGAAAUAAGUACCAGUUAUGCACUGGUGUCUGUGUAAUCAACUAUCCCCACCCAAAAUUUCAAACCUUUUUCUAUAGUAGAAAGGAUUAUUAUUAUUAUUAUUAUUAUUAUUAUUACUACUACUACAGUGGUGAGCUAGCAGAAUUGUUAACACACCAGGUGAAAUGCUUAGAGGUAUUUCAUCUGCCACUAUGUUCUGUGUUCAAACUCUGCCGAGGUCGACUUUGCCUUUCAUCCUUUCAGGGGUGAUGAAAUAAGUACCAGUUACGCACUGGGCCAAUGUAAUCGACUAGCCCCUUUCCUCCCAAAAUUUUCAAGGCCUUGUGCCUAGAGUAGAAAUAAAGGUGGCAAGCUGGCACAAAUUCUUAGCACACUGGAUAAGAUGCUUAGCAGUAUUUCGCUUAUUGCUAUGUUCUGAGUUCAAAUUCCACCAAGGUCAACUUUGCCUUUCAUCCUUUCAAGGUCGAUAAAAUAAGAACCAGCUGAAGACUGGGGUCGAUGUAUUUGACUCAUCACCCACUCCCAAAAUUACUGCCGUUGUGGCUAAAUUUGUAACCAUUAUUAUUAUUAUUAUUAUUAUUAUUAAGGUAACUAUUUUGCUGCACUAUCAGUAUGUCAGGGGAAACGCAUUGCGGUAUAUUUUCCAGCCAUUUAGAAACCUGAUUUCAAAUUCUACUGAUGUCAUCUUUGCUUUUCAUCCUUUCAGGGUCGAUAAGAUCCAUACUAGUUCAGUACUAGCCCAUUGCUCACUCCCCCUACAUAUUUACCUGCUUAAUUCCCUCCACUUUUUUGCCCCCUUUUCUAUUUCUUUGUUUCCUAGUAUUUAAAUUACAAUAAAUGAAAAUGUUUUAUUUUGCAAUUUAGCAUGUAUUAUUAUCGUUGUUUAGUGAGUACUUCCUUGUGUUUGCAUGGGUUGGAUGUGGAGGUACAUGGCCUAGUGGUUAGAGCAGUGGACUCGCAGUCGAGGGAUCGUAAGGUUGAAUCUCAGACCAGGCGAUGUGUGUGUUUAUGAGCGAAACACCUAAGCUCCACGCAGCUCUAGCAGAAGGUAAUGGCGAAACUUCUGCUGACUCUUUUGCCACAACUUUCUCUCACUCUUUCCUCCUGCAUCUUGCAGCUCACCUGCGAUGGAUCGGCAUCCUGUCCAGGUGGGGAACCUAUACGCCAAGAAACCGGGAAACCGGCUCUUAUGAGCCAGGCAUGGCUCGAGAAGGAACAACCAUGGGUUGGAUGGAAAUUGUUCUGGCAGAUUUAUGGCCUGAUGCUCUUCCUGUUGCCAAUCCUCACAUUUUUUUUUCCAAGUACAACUACACACAUACAUACGUAUAUACACACACACAGACAAACACACACAAGAAUUCUUUCAGUUUCCGGUCUCUCAAAUUCACUGACCAGGCUUUUGUCAAGCUGAGAAUAUUACAGAAGACACUUGCCCAAGGGGUUGCACUGUGAGACUGAACUCAAGUCCACAUGGUUGGUAAUCAAACUUCUUAACCCCACAACUACACAUAACAUACACAUAUAUGUAUGUGUAUAUCAUGAUUAGUAUAUAUUAACACGCACGUUUAUCAGAGUGUAUAAAUGCCCUUCCUAACAUGUAAGAAGUCUUAUCGAUGGCCUUCUCUUCACAUGUUUACACACUCUGAUAAACAAAUAUUUUACGUCUUAUGACAUGCAGCCUUCUGGCUUGCCAGCCCUCAGUCAAACUGUCCAACCCAUGCCAGCAUGGAAAGCAGACAUUAAACUACAAUAAUGAUGACGAUGCAAACCAUCUGGUAAUAAAUUAUUUAAUAAUUUUUACCUUUAUAUUUAUAUUGACAUACAUGUAUAUGUUUGUACAUUCUACUCUGAAAUAUAAAUUGUUCUUUCUCUUCUAUCUCCUCUACUUUUGAUCCAUAGUUUCUGAAAAGUGAUGUCUGCUUAUACAGAAAAUUUAACCUUAUUACUUAACGUUCUACAACGAAGACUUUGAUCGUUUAGUCUCAAAGUCUCUCUUCUCCUUUUCUCUAAAUUCAUUUCACUUUCUGCACCGAAUGUUUCCAUCUCCUCUCUCUCUCUCUCUCUCUCUCUCUCAUUCCUUGGUCACUUCAACAGAUACAAGGGGGUGUUCAAAAGUUCAUAGCUUUGGGUAAAAGAAAAUACAGGAGGGUCAGUUAAUUAUGAUUUCCUCCAACAUAUUUCCCUCUCAGAUUCAUACACUUAUUGCAGCAGUCCUUCAGCUUUUCUAAGCCCUUUAAAAGAACUUGGAAAGUUGGGCCUCCAAUCAGGCCUUUCGCGAAACCUUUAGAGCCCGGAGCUUUUCAGCACCCCCUCAUACAUGUCUCUUCCUGGCUAUCACUUUGAUCCUGCACUCCUGCUUCAGGCACUUUCCCCUGAAAUUUCUGAUCAGCCUGUUCCACUAAUUAUCCACUUGGAGACUCACCACCACUGCUGCCAUCACCAUAGAUUUUAAACUUUUUUUGUCCCUUAACCACUGACAAAAGCGUAUACCUAUUCUAGAGUUAGACCAGGGUUUCUCAACUUUUUUUUUGCCUUUGAUUCUUAUCUGACCCCUUUCAUUCUUAUGACCCCAUUCAUUCCUAUUUGACUCCUUUCAUUUUUAUUUGAUCCCUUUCAUUCCUAUCUGACCCCUUUCAUUCUUAUCUGACCCCUUCCUAUUUGACCCCUUUCAUUCCUAUUUGACCCCUUUCAUUCUUAUUUGACCCCUUUCAUUCUUAUUUGACCCCUUCCAUUCCUGUUUAACCCCUUCCAUUCCUAUUUGAUCCCUUCCAUUCUUAUUUGACCCCUUUCAUUCUUAUUUGACCCCUUCCAUUCCUGUUUGACCCCUUCCAUUCCUGUUUUAGCCCUUUCAUUCCUGUUUGAUCGCCUUCCUUCCUAUUUAACUUGAGUGGACCCCGUAGCCAUUUUGAUGCUUAAAAAAUAUUUUUAUAAUUAAAUUUUAUGAGAUAUUGUGUUUAAAAAAAUAUGUCAAAAUAUUUUGUGAAUUGUAGAAGUAAACUGAAUUAAUGCACAUGAAUUUUUGGCAACAAAAUCUUAUGUGGACCCCCAAGGGACCCCAUUGACCCCAGUUGAGAACCACUGUUUGACAACACUACCCAACUUACCACACACACACACAUAUACAUGUCCUUGAAAUGUCAAACAAAAUUCUUAAAAAAUACAAAUUGCCACUCACACAUACACUGGCAAUUACACACACACACACACACACACACACACACACACACACACACACAGAGUUAUUUGUCCAAAGUACUACUCUUGAAAGAACAGAUGUUCUCACAAAACAAUCCCCACUAAAAAUUCACUUAUUUAUGAAAAAUAUCAUCCAUUAGAGAUAUAGCCAGUAGACACAGAGUUAAUUGUUGUUUCAAAUACACCUGUUCAAAAAGCAUUCAAUUAAAAGAAAAAAAUGCUUACAUAAUCACACACACACUCACACACACGUGUAAAAAAGAUACUAAGCAAAAAUUAAUACAUAAAUGAAAAUACUCACCAUUAACAAAUUAAUAACACAAAUUAAUAACAUGACAUGAACACAUACAUACACACAAUCCAUCAUCAUCAUUAUUAUCAUUUAAUGUCUGUUGUCCAUGCUGGCAUGGGUUGGACAGUUUGACCGGGGCUGGUAAGCUGGAAGGCUGUACUGGACUCCAGUCUGAUUGGGCAUGGUUUUCUAUGGCUGGAUGCCCUUCCUAAUGCUAACCACUCCAAGAGUGUAAUGGGUGUUUUUACAUGCCACCGGCACAGGUGCCAUUUGCAUGACACCAGUGUCUGCCACGACUGCGAUCACGACAUAAUUCCAAAGGUCUCAGUCAUUGCUUCCAUGAGGCCCAACACUCAGGAACUCAGCCACUUUGCCUCCAUGAGGCCCAACACUUGAAAUUAACUCAGCCACUUUGCCUUUAUGAGGCCCAACGCUAUUUAUAAAUAUAUAUGAUGGACUUCUUUCAGUUUCCAUCCACUCCCAGGGCUUUGAUCAGCCCAAGGCUAUCAGUAGGCGCCUAGUCAAGGUACCACACACUGGGACCGAAACCAGAACCUUGCUGUUGAAAAGCAAAUUUUUUACUCCACAGCUAAUCUAUAUACAAAAUUUAACAAUGUAAAUAUAUUUAGAAAUAUGCUUAAAAAAAGUUUGAUGAGAAAAGUGCUUACACAGCCAAGUACUUAUUCUGUUGGUUUCUUUUUGCUGGACUGCUAAGUUACGUGGACGUAAACACAACACCAUUGGUUGUCAAAUGAUGUUGGGGGAACAAACACAGACACACAAACAUAUACACAUACACACACACAUAUAUAUAUAUAUAUAUAUAUAUACACACACACACACACACACAUAUAUACGACGGGCUUCUUUCAGUUUCCGUCUACCAAAUCCACUCAUAAGGCUUUGGUCGGCCCAAGGCUAUAGUAGAAGACACUUGCCCAAGGUGGCAGGUUCAGUCCCACCAUGUAGCACUUUGGAAAAUUGUCUUCUACUAUUGCUUUGGGCCGACCACAGCCUUGUGAGUGGAUUUGGUAGAUGGAAACUGAAAGAAGCCUGUCGUAUAUGUGUGUGUAUAUACAUAUAUGUGUGUGUGUGUGUGUGUGUGUGUGUGUAUGUUUGUAUGUCUGUGUUUGUCCCCUGCCCACCAUCACUUGACAACUGAUGCUGGUGUGCUUAUAUCCCCGUAACUUAGCAGUUCGGCAAAAAGAAACCGAUAGAAUAAGUACUAGGUUUACAAAGAAUAAGUCAAUUUGCUCGACUAAAGGCGGUGCUCCAGCAUGACCACAGUCAAAAGACUGAAACAAGUAAAAGAGUAAAAAAGACAUUAUAAAAACAUCUUCCAGAGUAGUUUAUGACAUUGAGUGUUUCUAAAAAUUUUUUUUUAAUAUUUAAUAAUUUUAAAGAAAAUCUUUCCUCAAAUAUUGUUAUCGUAUAAAAUAUUUUAGCAAAAACAUUCAGGUGUGUGUGUUUGGAGUGAAGACAGGAGAGAUAUGCAAUGAUAUACAAUUGAAAGAUCUUGGAAGGGUUGGCCAAACUUUGGCAUUGAGAGCUAUACCAGCCUCUGAACUGGACACCACAGCAAUGUUCUAAAGGGAUCAGCUAUCCUGUCUAGAGUGAGGACUAUGUUCUGCAAUAGCAUGGAAUUCAAGGGCCCAUAUCUAUGUAAUAUCUUGCUAAAAUAUCUGGGAGAUUUACUUGGGGUAGGGGUAGCUAUUUUCAGCAAACAACUUGACCUCCUGCUGUUCAACAUCACAGAUGAACCUACAUCAUUGCAAGAAACUUAAAAGAGGGCAACAAUGUCAAACUCCCUGCUUCACUAAAAACCAGUCACAAAAGAACGGCCAUUGGAAAGGUGAUAACACUGACAAUGUCCCAGCAUGGCUACAGCCUUUGGGUUGAAAUACAUAAAAGAAUAAAAAGGUGUAUGUGUGUGUGUGUAUGUAGAUUGUGUGUAUCAUGCAUAUUGCAGAUCAAUAAAUUUUUAUUGUACGUAGUCUAUACAUGGCUGUUAGUUUGUAUCAUGCACUUGCACAUGCAUUGAUAAAACGUGUGCAUGCAAGCAUGCAUGUGCAUCUAGGCAUGUGCAUUCCAGUUUAACCCUCUCCAUUCUAGUAAUUUCUUUCAGCUAUGCUGUUGAAAUUGCUAUUUUUAGCAGCAAUGGUUGCGUCUAUUCUUUGGAAGAAAAUGCUAACUUCCUGUUCCUAUGACAAUAGUGAGCCUGUUCAUACCAGAAUAAACUUUUCAAAUAUGUUUUAAUGUUGGUUAAGAAAUUUCUUUGUUUUUUUUUCUUUUCUUUUUUUUUUUAAACAUUUUUCUGCUCUCCGCCCCUCCCCAUCCUUUUUUAAAAUAUAUUUUCUAAUUUUUUUUUUUUUUUUUACUUUUUCCCCCUUCGCACCUACAUCCCCAUCCUGCUUCUUUCUAUUUCUAACACUUUGAUAUUUUGAUAUUUCAGAUAUUUUAUUUAAUAAGACCAUGGUGCUGGUUAUAACAAUAUUAUAUUAGUAAUAAUAACAAUAAUAAUAAUAAUAAAAAUAAUAAUAAUUAUUAUUAUUAUUAUUACUAAUAGUAAUAAUAUUAGUAAUAGUAAUAUCAAAAGUAAUAUUAAUAGCAAUAAUUAUAGUAAUAACAGUAAUAUUAAAAAUAAUGCUAACAGUCAUAAUAAUAAUAAUAAUAAUAAUAGUAAUAAAAAUGAUAUUAAUGAUGGUGAUGAUAAGGAUGAAAUGAAUGCAAUAAAUGCAUAGAAAUGCUGAUGAAAAGUAUUUCAGUGAGGAUAAGGGUGAUGAUGACAGUCAGUGAAGUUGAUUAUGAUAAUGGUUGCUUUUAUUUGCCACAAGGUCGAGAGACAAUAGAACAGUACAGUUGUACCAAACUGCAUGUCUUACAAAUCAAUAACAAGGAACAUGCAAAAUUGUGCCAGGUAUACAAACACACACAUGUGCGUGUGCAUAUAUAUAUAUAUAUAUAUAUAUAUAUAUAUCAAUCAUGUGCACACACUAACAUGCAUACAUAUGCAUGUGCACACAUAAGCACUCACACAUGCAGAUAAACAAACAUGUGCAUGCACACCUACAUGCACAUGCAUGUUCACAUGCAGAUGCAGAGUAAAUGUGCAUGAGUAACUAGAUCUUUGUACAGUUUCAACAAUGAAUUUUCCAGUUCUUCUAUCAACUGAAAUGCUUACAUCAGUAAAUUAUAGCACCAGUACUGGUUCUCAUACUGCCUUGUACUUGUAGUGCCAUUCACCCGGGAUGGAUUGAGCCAGCUCUGAUCAACAAGUUCAUCAUGUCCCUCAUGAAUGCUGACCACCUUCCUUGAAAAAAAGUAAGGUAAAGUUACCUCCUGGAGCAAUGCCAGGCUCAUAAGAGCCAGUUCCUUGGUUUCAGUGGUGUAUAUAUUCCUCACCUGGAUGGGACGCCAGUCCAUUGCAGGAUUAUUCAUUUUUGCCAGCUGAGUGGACUGGAGCAACGUGAAAUGAAGUGUCUUGCUCAAGAACACAAUGCAUCACCCAGUCUAGGAAUCGAAACCACAAUCUUAUUUCUUUACUGCCCACAAGGGGCUAGACACAGAAGGGACAAAUGGAUUAAGUCGAUUAGAUUGGCCCCAGUGCAUAACUGGUACUUAAUUUAUUGACCUCAAAAGGAUGAAAGGCAAAGUCGACCUCGGCGGUAUUUGAACUCAGAACAUAACGGCAGAUGAAAUAGAGCUAAGCAUUUCGCCCGGUAUGCUAACAUUUCUGCCAGCUCGCCCCCUUCGAAACCACAAUCUUACCAUCAUGAGUCCUACACCCUAACCACUAAGCCAUGCACUUCAAUAGAUGCUGACCACAUCCAACAAUGUUGAGGCCAUAGUUGUCCUUCGCCAUGGAGGUGCAGAGUUCAUGUACAGAGUUUUAGUGGGGAUACCAGUUCACAUGUGGUCCCCAAUCACAUGUAUACACACUUUGGGAUAGUGUGAUCCAUAACAACCCAUCUUGCCGUCAAUUGUCAACCUUUACAGAAGAUUCAUGGACCAAGUCACCCCUGAUUAUCAGAGUGGUGUUGCCUGGAUUUGAAGCAGGUUCUAGAGACAUGCUUUAGCAAAAGCUAAGAGGUGCCUCACUCCCAGUGGUCUUCCAGCACACCAGACACCAACCUGGAAUUUCUGAGGGCCUAUGCUAUUACUAGAUAGACAUUGAACCAACACUAGAUUCAUCUAUCCUUUUGACAGGUUUUGUUUUUAGUUCUGCUGGGUUUCUAGCAACCCUCCUCACCAGGCAAGCCUAGUGUGUGUGCUGGCUUAGUCACCAACGAUCUGACCAUACAACAAGUUGUACUGGAUCCCAUGUUACCGUUAGCAUUUGUAAGGGACGUCACAAGUGACCUGACAUGAUACCAUUAGUGGCCAGCACAUGAGCCCAUAAAGUAAUCAUCAGGUACAAUCAAACCAACACAUGUUGGCCCCUUUGAAGUACAGGUACAGUCCAGUUCAUUCAACAGGCUUCUGCAGUUUUCAUGUAUUCAUUUUCACUCACAAUGCAUGGGCUGUUCCCACCUGCCCUCAAUUCAAUAAGUAAAUUACAACCAACUCCUAAAUAUAUAACUAAGCAGCAACAAAUAUAUAUAUAUAUAUAAAUAAAAUGUACUGAUCCAUGAUAAAAAAGUAAACAAAAAAAGUACUCCAUCUGGUGAGAGAUACAUAUUAUUUAUUUAUUAUUUAUUUGUGACCUUUAAAUAAAUAAUAUAUAGCACUCCACAGACAUGGGUACCCUUAACACAGUUCUCGGGGGAGAUACUGAGUGACACAGUGUGCCAAGGCUGGCCUCUUUGAAAUACAGGUACAACAGAAACAGGAAGAAAGAGUGAAAGAAAGUUGUGGUGGAAGAGUACAACAGGGUUCGCCACAACCCCCUGUAGGGGCCUUGUGGAACUUUAGGUGUUUUCGCUCAAUAAACACUCAUAAUGCUCGGUCUGGGAAUUGAAACCACAAUCCCACAACAGUGAGUCCACUGCCCUAAACACUGGGCCAUUGUGCCUUCACAUGCGCUCAUACAGUGCAGUGUUGUGAAGAACCUGUAGCAUUUAAUUCAAAAUUGAAACUGAUGGAGGAUGUAUCAUCAUCCCCACCCACUGCCAUCACAAUCAUCAUCAUCAUCUGCAUCAUCGUUACCAUCUUCAGGUAUAAAAAACCGCGACAAUUAUCAACAAUUUUUAUUAAUUUUUUCAUAUAAAAAUUACUUUCUAUUCAUCUGCAGAAACCAUUAAUUAUUAUAAUUUCAUUAACUAGUCAUUAACUAAUGCAAAAAAAAAAGAAAGAUAAAAGGAUAAGGAAGGAAAAAUACAAAAAGAAUUCAGCAUUAUUCUAAUUGCUUCGUUACAAAAUGAAAUUAUAAUUUCUUUUUUUGCUAGAUUACUUAAUGCUAGAGAUGGAAAGGUAAUAGGGAUGAAAGAAAUAAUGGUGAUGGUGAUGGUGGUGGUGGUGGUGGUGUUGGUAGCGGUGGGUGGUAGUGGUGAUGAUGAUGAUGGAGAUGGUGGUGAUAAGCAGGAUGAUGGUGGCAGUGGUGGUGGUGAUGUUGGUGAUGGAGAUGGUGGUGAUAAAGAGGAAGGUGGUGGUGCUAGUGGUUUGGUGAUGGUGGUAGUCAUGAUAAUGUAAUGCUGGUGUUGAUGAUAAUCAUACUGAUAGUGAUGAUGAUACAUCCUCCAUCAGUUUCAAUGCCGAGCAUUCAAUCAUUCAGUCAGUUCAACUACCUGCUUCUGAAACUAACGUUUAAGUGGCUGAGUACUCCACAGAGUUGUGUACCUGAAAUGUAAUCCUAUUUAUGAAAUCUCUGUGACCCAGUAUCUGACUAGGAUGGACCUUUGAAAUACAGGUAAAAAUAGAAUCCAUCUGACAAGAGUGAACCUGGGACCUUAAGAUUGUAAAUUGAGGGAAAUUUGGCAGGAUGGUCAGUCACCCACUGAUAUUUGUUGACGCUGCAUUGAAGAAACCAAAGAACAAAAGAAAAAAGGGGAAAGAAGAAAUGCAUUCAACACCAGAGCUGAAGGCACCUCUGAAAGGAGCGGGGUCCCACCAUGUCGAAAAUUGUAGAGGAGUAGGAGCCAAAACUGGACAUGGUUCCUCCUGAUGAUGUCUUUGGCCACUGGAUCCUAUAAAGGAGCUGUUGAGGUAGCGAACCAUGAAACAUGGUUGGAAUUCCUCCUUCCAUUGUUGCAGCUUUGUAACAUGUUCUUUGCUCAGGACAUCAUUUGUCACCUGGGACAUUUCAUGGUCAAAAAAUUGUUUGUAAACCAAUUUCUUCAAGAUGAGAGGCAUUCGUAAACCAAGGAUCUAAUCUGUGUGUGUAUGUGUACCAAGAACUCAUUGAAAUAGUGAAAUUUCAAUUUCUGGUGAAUUAAUGAAUAAGAUCCUUAGUACUCACAUUCUCUUUUAUUUAUGUUUCUGUUCAUAGACAAUAAAGACACAUACAUUCUGGAAGUUUUUUCUCUCAGUUAGACAUGAUUGAUUGAUUGAUUCUAGUUUCAGCUUAUGAGCUGUGGCCAUGCUGGGGCACCGCCAUUUAAACCUUUUUCUUUUCAAAGCAGCAAGCUGGCAGAAACAUUAGCACGCCAGGCGAAAUGCUUAGCGGUAUUUCGUCUGCUGCUACGUUCUGAAUUCAAAUUCGGCUGAGGUCGACUUUGCCUUUCAUCCUUUCGAGGUCAAUUAAAUAAGUACCAGUUACGCAUUGGGGUUGAUAUAAUCGACUUAAUCCGUUUGUCUGUCCUUGUUUGUCCUCUCUGUGUUUAGCCCCUUGUGGGUAGUCAAGAAAUAGGUAUUUUGUCUGUCUUUACAUUCUGAGUUCAAAUUCCACCUAGGUCGACUUUGCUUUUCAUCCCCUCAGGCUCAAUUCAUUAAGUACCAGCUGCAUUCUGGGGUCGAUCUAAUUGACUGGUUCCUUCCCCCCAAAUUUCAGGCCUUACUCUUAGAGUAGAAAAGAUUUAAACCUUUUUUUUUUUAUGUACUUGAAAACUCAAGCCUUAUGGAACUUGGGUUUUAUGUAAGAAAGAAACACAACUCUGGUAGAUAAGAUUUCCUAAUUAUUCACCAUCAUCAUCAUUUAAUGUCCAUUUUCCAUGAUGGAAUGGUGCUGAAUGGUUUGAUGGAAGCUGGCUAGGCCAGGAGCCAUACCAAAUUCCAUUGUCUACUUUGGUUUCAUCUCUUCAGCUGGAUGUCCUUCCUAAAGCCAACCACUUGACAGAGUGUACUGGGUGCUUUUUAUGUGGCACCAACACCAAAGCUUUUUAUAUGGUACCAUUAUCAGAACCUUUCAUAUGACACCAGUACCUGUGCUUUUUAGGUGCUACCAACACUGAUAAGGUCACCAAGUACCUUACAAGGCAAAAAUGUUUCUGGUGGGGGUGGGGAAUACUAUUGAUGGGGUGUGGUUUUGUUCCACUUGAGGAAUUUAAGGUACAUUUAGGUGUCUAACUGUAGGGUGGAUGCAUAGAUACCCCAGUUGGUAGCUACCCUAGUUGGAAAACAAAAGAGAAGGAUACUGAGAAAAACGAUGGGUUAUUAGAAUCAAUUUCUAGGAUUUAUUUCUUAUUUGAUUUUUCCAUUCACAUCUUCCAGGAAGAACUAAAUAAUAAUAAUAAUAAUAAUAAUGGCUUCACAGUCAGAAGACUUCCAGUUGAAAACCUAUGAAUCUGUAGCAGAAAAUUUCAUCAAACUCUGUCGAGAGCAUUCCAACAUCAGUGGUUAUUCCAAGCUGGAGAAAAAAUGUCGAGCUGAGCUGAAGUUCUUGGAAAAGGUAAGUCAUUGCAAUAAAAUAUUGCUUUCUCUCACUUGUUUCAGUCAUUUGACUGCGGUCAUGCUGGAGCACUGCUUUGAAGAAUUUUUGGUUGAAUGGAUCAACCUUAGGACUUUUUUUUUUGUUUUUCUAAGCCCAGUACUUUUUCUAUCAGUCUUUUUUGCUGAACUGCUAAGUUACAGGGAUGUAAACACACCAACACCGGUUGUCAAGUGGUGGUGGACAAACACAGUCACAAAGGCAUAUACACACACACGUUUUUUGCAUUUCUUUUAUUCUUUAAUUUGUUUCAGUCAAGUGAGUGAGCCAUGCUGGAGCAUCGCCUUUAGUCAAACAAAUCAACCCGAGGACUUAUUCUUUGUAAGCCUAGUACUUAUUCUAUCAGUUUCUUUUGCUGAACCGCUAAGUUAUGGAGACAUAAACACACAAACAUUGGUUGUCAAACAAUUUUUUAAUAUUUUUUGAUCACUGUCUUGGAAAUAAGCUUAUGAAAAAUAUUUUUUAAAUUUAUGAUUUGGUUAUAAAUGAAUAUCAGCUUAUUACAUCCAUAUUUUCAUAUAAGAGAAUAGUUAAUUUAGUUGGACUUGAAUCCACUGUCCUAUUGGAUGAAGUGUAGUAGGUGCCACUCUGAACUGUGAAUUCUCUAAAAAGCACAUCAAUAAUAUAGGCACAGGCAGAGCUGUAUAUUUUAAAAUCUGGUUCUUGGUUUAGGCCAUGCCAAGCUUCUUGGGCAAGGGUCUUCUUAUGCAGGCUCGAGUUAACACUUUGAGUAAAAGAUGGUAGGUAGAAAUGGUAUAGAAGUCAAUUGCAUGUGUGUGUGUAUUUGAAUAUCUAUAUACACACAUAUAUGCGUGUGUGUGUUUACAUUUAUAACCAGUGAUGUUGGUGUACUGUAGCAAAUGGUCUGACAAAUAUAUACAUUGAUAAAAUAAAAUAUGUACCAAACUUUAAAAUAUGUACAGGGGUUGAUAUGCUUCACUGAGCCCUUGAUAGUGCCCCAGCAUGACCAGAAUCCAAAACCAAAUAACAAAACUAAAUGAAUCAAAGCAUAUACAUGCAUAGAUAUACCAUUUUUUUAUUUAUAUUUGUGUAUCUGCAAUAAUUACUUUUGGAGGUAAUUGCAACAAUUACCUUGUAACGAAGUGCUGUCACAGGCUUAGUGAUGUCUUGAUAUCCUGCCUUCUGCCUCUCCAUCUUCAAGUUUAUAUCUCUUCAUCUUUACCUGCUUUCUCUUUCAUAUACAUCUCUCUCUCUCUCUCUCUCACUUCCUCUCCCUCAGCAUCUUUCUCUAUUCAAGUUACAUCUUUUAGCAUUAGACAAACAAGUGAGAAUGUACAGUUGUAUUAAUAUAUUGUUGUAACUCAUUACAUCAGAUAAAGCUUCUCAAUUUAUUUCCUAAAUGCGAUAUUUAUUACAUUAAGUUCUCAAGUUUUCACUUAAAUGUAUUUCUAUUCUUAGUCAACCCAAGAUUAAUAAUCAGAUGUUGUCAUUGUAAAUCAUUCUCUUCAUAAUUAUGUGUAACAGGAUAUAUUGAUGUGGAUGUCAUUCAUCCAUCCAUCCAUCUGAUCAUAACUCAAGCCAGAGCAUGACACUUCAGGUUAUUCUGCCAUUCAACCCAGUUAUUUAGCUCUUCCAUAAUAUAUAUAUAUAUUAUAAAGUAAGAGCAGGAAAAUUACAUCAAAAAGUCAUCACAGAAGAUAUACGUCCAAAAUAAUAUUGUAUUAAUUAUUUAAAAGGUUAUUUUAUAAUAGGCGUAGGAGUGGUGGCUGGUAAGUAGCUUGCUUACAAACCACAUGGUUCCGGGUUCAGUCCCACUGCGUGGUACCUUGGGCAAGUGUCUUCUACUAUAGCCUUGGGCCGACCAAAGCCUUGUGAGUGGAUUUGGUUGACUGAAACUGAAAGAAGCCCAUCAUAUAUAUGUAUAUAUAUAUAUAUAUAUAUAUAUAUAUGUAUAUGUGUGUGUGUGUAUGUUUGUGUGUCUGUGUUUCUCCCCCCAACAUCGCUUAACAACUGAUGCUAGUGUGUUUACAUCCCCGUAAUGUAACUUAGUGGUUCAGCAAAAAAGACUGAUAAAAUAAAUACUAGGCUUACAAAGAAUAAGUCCUGGGGUCGAUUUGCUUAACUAAAGGCGGUACUCCAGCAUAGCCACAGUCAAAUGACUGAAACAAGUAAAAGAAUAUAUAAACAAUUGUUCUGUGUUUAAUGUGGUUGAAUUACGGAUGGCAAACCAAAUGCUGUGGGCUAGGUGCGUGACUCAGUGGUUAGAGUGCCAGACUGACAAUCAUGAGGUAGUGAGUUUAAUUCCCAGGUCGGAUUGUGUGUUGUGUUCUUCAGCAAGGCAUUUUAUUUCACGUUGAUCCAGUUCACUCAGCUGUAGAAAUGAAUUGCGAUAUCACUGGUGCCACGCUGUAUUGGCCUUUGCCUUUCCCUUGGAUAACAUCAGUGGUGUGGAGAGGGGAGGCUGGUACGCAUGGGUGACUGCUGGUCUUCCAUAAACAACCUUGCUUGGACUUGUGCCUCAGAGGGAAACUUUCUAGGUGCAAUCACAUGGUCAUUCAUGACCGAAGGGCAAGCUAAGGGGGGAAUCCAAAUAAGAAUAAGUCUGCUUGGCACAAUCAUUGUUAUUAAUUUGGUUACAAAUUUGGCACAUCAUCAUCAUUUAACGUCCGUUUUCCAUGCUGGCAUGGGUUGGACAGUUUGACUGAGGUUUGGAGAGCCAUCGGCUGCACGAGGCUCCAGUCUGAUCUGGCUAUAUUUCUACAGCUGGAUGCCCUUCCAAGAGUGUAGUGCAUGCUUUUUAUGUGCUAGCAGCACAGGAGCCAGUACGGUGGCCUUUGCAUUGCUCAUGUUCGGACAGUGGCAUGGGAGACAUUCAGGGAGUACUGGCAACGACCAUGUUUGAAUGGUGCUUUUUACAUGCCACCAGCACAGGAGCCAGUCAGGGGGCACUGGGGAUGGCGGGGAAGAUGCAAAUUGAUUACAUCGAUCCCAGAGCUCAGCUGGUACUAAUUUUAUUGAUCCAAUAAAGAUGAAAGGCAAAGUUAACCUCAGCAGAAUUUGAACUCAGAACAUUUUGCUUGGCAUGUUAAUGAUUCUGCCAGCUGGCUGCCUUCUGUAUUGGUUUCAAAAUUUGGUACAAGGUCAGUUAUUUAUGGGGCAGAGCUAAGUUGAUCACAUAAACCCCUCAAUGCUCAACUGUUUCUUAUUUCAUUGACUCUGAAACGAUGACAGUCAAUGUCAGCCUUGGCAGAAUUUGAACGUAAAGACGGACGAAAUUCCUCUUAGCAUUUCGCCCAGCAUGCUAACACUUCUGCCAGUUCACUGCCUCAUGACUAAGAAAAUAUUGUAAACAAGCCAAAAUAUCAUAGACUGUUAGCACAAACUUAUGAAAAUUGCUUAUGAUGGAUCAGUAGGUAUGUGGAAAAGUCACAUUAUCUCAUUAUGUCUCCUUUCCCAGCUUACAUAACCCGCAUGAUAGGUGUCUUAUAUUAUUUAAUGAAUCUUAUUGAUAGGGGUGUGCCUUGUAUGCAAUUACGGUAGUUUCAUACACCUUUUUCUAGAAUCUUCAAAUUUUUUUAACCUAAUAAAUCCUUAUACUCUUAAUUUUUCUGUCAAGAUAUAUAACAUUAAUUUUACUUAGCUACCAAAAAUAUUUUCUUCAGCUUUUUUUUUUAAUAUUUUUAAUUCAAUAGUUUUGUACGUCUUUAUUCAUAUAUAAUUUCUAAACCUUUUUACUUGAUUUUUUUUUCCCCCCCUGAUUCAGGCCAACAAAUAACAACUCAUAACUCAAGUGUUAGAUUAAAAUGUCAGCUAUUUUUCAGCAUUACCUUGUUGAAAGAUUUCAAAUUUUGGGGGAGGAUUUUUUUCCGACAGUAAGAAUGUUUUAAUCAAGUUUACAUUAAGCAUCUCUCUGUCUCACUCACAUGUGUGGUGGAAUGGUUGUGUGGUUAAGAAGCUCAGUUUGUAACCUUAUGGUUUUUGGUUCAGUUCCACUGCAUAGCUCAGGCCUACCAGUGCCUUGGGAGUGAAUUUUAUAGACAGAAACUGUGUGGAAGUCUGUUCAUCAUCAUCAUUAUGAUCAUUUAAUGUCCGUUGUCCAUGCUGGUAUUGGUUUGGGCAGUUUGACCAGAGGUGGCAAGCUGGAGAGCUGCACCUGUAUCCAGUCUGAUUUUGCAUGGUUUCCAUGGCUGGAUGCCCUUCCUAAUACCAAACAUUUUUACCAUGUGUGUUGGCUGCUUUUAUAUGACACUACACAGGUGAUUUUAUGUGAACCCUCACGGGUCCUUUUUAUUCCUUUAUUUAUUUAUUCGUUUCAGUCCGUGGCCAUGCUGGAGCACCACCUUUAGUCGAACACCUUGACCCCAGGACUUAUUCUUUGUAAGCCUAGUACUUACUCUAUCAGUCUCUUUUGCAGAACCGCUAAGCUAUGGGGAUGUAAACACACCAACAUCGUUUGUAAAAACCACCAUUUGAGUGUGAUCGUUACCAGCAUCGCCUUACUGGCUCUCGUGCUGGUUGCAUGUGAAAAACAUUCAAACAAGGUUGUUGCCAGUACCGCUAGACUGGCUCCUGUGCAGGUGGCACAUAAAAAAACACCAUUUGAGUGUGGGUGUUGCCAGUAUCGCCUGAUUGGCCCUCGUGUCGGUGGCACGUAAAAGCACCCACUACACUCUCGGAGUGGUUGGCGUUAGGAAGAGCAUCCAGCUGUAGAAACUUUGCCAGAUCAGAUUGGAGCCAUCUGGUUCGCCAGUCCUCAGUCAAAUCGUCCAACCCAUGCUAGCAUGGAAAGCAGAUGUUAAACGAUGAUGAUGGUGACUCUAGGCACAAGGUCUGAAAUUUUGAGGGAGGGGCCUGUCAAUUAGAUCGACCCCUGUAUGCAACUGGUACUUAAUUUAUCGACCCAGGAAGGAUGAAAGGCAAAGUCAACCUUGGUGGAAUUUGAACUCAGAACAUACGAAAUAGCGCUAAGCAUUUUGCCUGGUGGCCAACAUUUCUGCCAGCUCGCCGCUUUCUGCAAAUAUUCUUUUCUACUCUAGACACAAGGCCUGAAGUUUCUGGAGAGGGGCCAGUUGAUUAGAUCGAUCCCAGUAUGCAAUUUAUCAACCCCAAAAAGAGGAAAAGCAAAGUCGACCUCGACUGAAUUUGAACUCAGAAUGUAAAGACAUUUUGCUCGGUGUGCUAACGUUUCUGCCAGCACACUACCUUCUGCAAUUAUUGGAAAUAUUCUGGCCAUGGGGAAGCAUCACCUUGCUUGGAAACGGCAGAAGGUUGGUGAUGGGAAGAUCAUUCACCCAGAGAAAAUCAGUUUCAGCAAAUUCCUUCUGACCCAUGCAUCCCAUGGAUUACAUUAGAUUGUCUUGCCUAUGUUCAGUCCACUGCAGGAUGAAGGCCUCAGUAUGUUCUCUCUAUCAACCACAGUCUGAUGUGAAGGCCAUGAAUUUGAGCUUGUGGCCAUACUAGUUUCAUGAGCCUACUCUGCUACACAGGUUUGACAUUGCUUGGCACAUGGAUAUACUUUUUAUUCUCUUAUCCAACUGUCAUUAAAUCAAUUACACUGACCCCAGUGCUCAAUAAGUGCUUAUUUUAUCAGCCCUGAAAGAAUGAUGGGCAAGGCUGACCUUGGCAGGAUUUGAACUCAGGACAUGAAGACAGAUGAAAUACUGUUGAGCAUUUCAUCUGGUGUGCUAACGAUUCUGCCAGCUUACCACCUGAUGAUGAGGAUGAUGAUAAUUUCAAUUCUUUGAUCGUAAUUUGAUACAUCUGUUUUGCAUAACUUCAAAGCUACCGUUGCCUUCCUUGUCUUUGUAUAAUUAAAACCACCUACAUCUUGUCAUGUUUGUUUGUAUCUGUGUGUGUAUGUUUGUGGAGAGAGAGAGAGAGAGGGAAAGGGAAUAAAAAUAAAGAUAAAAAAAUUUAUUGGAAGGAAUGAAAAAGCACACACAUACAAACAUUCAUAAAAAUUAAAUUCUAAUUUUUGUCUGUCUAAUUAAAAAUUUGAUAAUUGAAAAUCGUAUUGUAGUGUUUCAAUUAUUGCCGCAGACCUAGAAGGAUGACAAUAAACUAAUUAUCACCAUCAUCGUUAUUUCAUUUACAUUAUUAUUAUUUUAUAAAAGAAUCAUCAUCAUCAUCAUCAUUUAACGUCUGCUUUCCAUGCUGGCAUGGGUUGGACAGUUUGAUGGAGGACUGGCAAGCCAGGAGGCCAUGCCAGGCUUCAAUCUGCUGGAGCCUCGUGGAGCUUUAGGUGUUUUCACUCAAUAAACACACACAACGCCCGGUCUGGGAAUCGAAACUGUGAUCCUCCGACCGUGAGUCCGCUGCCCUAACCACUGGGCCAUUGCACCUCCACAUUAUUAUUAUUAGUAGUAGUAAAGGAAGGGAGCUGGUAGAAUCCUCAUUGUGUCAGACAAAAUGCUUAGCAGUGUUUCUUUUGGCUUUUUAUAUUCUGAGUUCAAAUACCUUUGAAUUCAGAAUAUAGAGAUCAACUUUGCCUUUCAUCCUUUUGGGGUCAAUGAAAUAAGUACCAGUUAUGCACUGGGGUUGAUGUAAUCGACUAGCCCCCUUUCACCCCAAAUUUUCAAGGCCUUGUGCCUAGAGUAGAAAUAAUUAUUAUUGUGUUGGGCCUCACAGAGGCAGGGUGGCUGAGUUCCUUUUGAGUGUUGGGCCUCAUGGAGGCAAUGACCAAGACCUUUGGCAUUAUGUCAUGAUUGAGAAGAAGACCCAUCAAGCUGAGCAAAAUCACAGUCAUGGCAGAUGCCAGUGGCAUGUAAAUGCACCCUGGUGUCAUGCAAAUGGCACGUAAAGACACUCAUUACACUCUUGGAGUGGUUGCCAUUAGGAAGGACAUCCAGCCAUAGAAAACCAUGCCAAAUUAGACUGGAGUCUGAUGCAACCUUCCAGCAUGUCACCCCCAGUCAAACCGUCCAACCCAUGCCAGCAUAGACAAUGGACAUUAAAUGAUGAUGAUGACGAUGUUGAUGAUGAUGAUUACUAAUAAGACAUUUCUAAUAGACAGAAAAUAAUUAAUCUUCAUUAAAAUCAUAGAAUAUCUAUUUUUGUUUUUCUUCUGCAUUGCGUGUUAGUAAUUUCACUAUCACAACAGAACGUAGGCUUAGGAGUGGCUGUGUGGUAAGUAGCUUGCUUACGAACCACAUGGUUCUGGGUUCAGUCCCACUGCAUGGUACCUUGGGCAAGUGUCUUCUAUUAUAGCCUCGGGCCGACCAAAGCCUUGUGAGUGGAUUUGGUAGACGGAAACUGAAAGAAGCCUGUUGUAUAUAUGUAUAUAUAUGUGUGUCUGUGUUUGUACCCCAACAUCGCUUGACAACCGAUGCUGGUGUGUUUAGGUCCCUGUAACCUAGAGGUUCGGCAAAAGAGACUGAUAAAAUAAGUACUAGGCUUACAAAGAAUAAGUCCUGGGGUUGAUUUGCUUGACUAAAGGCGGUGCUCCAGCAUGGCCACAGUCAAAUGACUGAAACAAGUAAAAGAGAACAGAACAGAGAGAGAGUGUGAGCGCGAAAUAUUGUUCUUAGUGUUUACAUACAGGGUAACUAUUUUCGGUGAGUUCUACCUUGCAGAGGGGUUCUAAUAGUUGCUAGUAUUUGUGAAGGUGCAUGGCUUAAUGUUUAAGGCAUUUGGCUCACAAUUGUAUGGUUGUGAGUUCUCUUCCUGGCAGUUCAUUGUGUUCUUGUGCAAAAUACUUUAUUUCAUGUGACUCCAGUCAACUCAGCUGACAAAAAUGAGUUGUGCCUGUAAUUACAUAGGGGCCAGUCUUGCCACAUUCUGUGUCAUUCUGUUCUCCCUGAGAACUAUAUUAAGGGUACGCAUGUCUGUGGAGUGCUCAGCCACUUGCAUGUUAAUUUCACAAGCAGGCUGUUCCAUUGAUCACAUCAGCUGGAACCUUCGUCAUUUAACUCAAUGGUUCCCACACUUUCUUGGGCUGACACUCAGGCCACAUUCUUAGCGUCCCCCAUCCAGACUGACCAUCGCAAGCAUAGACCUCUUUCUGGAGUAAAUUCAAAGCAACUGUGUUUCACAAAUAAAAACUUAACCUAACGGACCCAUUAUUUUGUUGUUUUUACAUGAAUCACUUCCCCCAUUAUUACCCCACUUUUUACAUGAAUUGCUACCCCAUUUUUGUCCCACUUUUCUUCAACGCCGGGGGGACAAUACUGCCCACUUUGGGAACCACUGAGAGGGAGCCAAGCUGAUAAGCGCAUGUGAGUUAUAUUGUUUUAUUACUUACAAUGCUGGCCCUUGUGAAUUACAGGUACCACUCACUUUUUCCAGCUGAGUGAACUGGAGGAGUACCUUGUAAAAACGUGCUGCUGGUUUUGGAACCCACAAUUGUAAGCCAAAUACCCUAACCACUAAGCCACGCACCAGCAGAUACCAGCUGACUAUUGCAUAAUCUAUUGUUAUACAAACAUACACAGAUAACAACAUAUGCACAUACACACUCAAACACUGUCACAUAUUGUUACGUACACUUACCAACAGUCUAUUCGUUUUAUGCAUACACACAUGCAUACAUAUAUAAAUACACACAUGCACAGGUAUCAGCAGAGAAUUGCACAAACGUUCACAGAUAACAACUCACACACAUACACACACACACACAGAUAUCAGCAGACAUUCCACACGCAGUCUGUAUGUUAAACAUACAGAUACCAACAUACACAUUCAGUUAUUGUUUCGCACACACACACACACACACACACACACACACAGUGUCUCACACAGUUAUAUGCACACACAAACACACACAGUCUCAUACAGUUACACUCACACACACACACAGUGUCUCACACACAAAUAUGCAGUUCCAUACAGGUACACAUGCACGCACACACACGUACACACAGUUUCAUACAGUUACAAGCAACACACAUACAGACACACAAUCUCGUACAGUUAUGCGUGCACACACACACACACACACACACACAUACAGUCUCGUACACACACAGUCUCAUACAGUUACGUGUACACACACAAACACUGAAACACCCAGUCUCAUACAGUUACACGCAUGCACACACACACACACACACAGAUAUUAGCAGACAAUCAGCAUCAUAUUUUUAAUUAAUUUAUUAUUUAUUGAAAUGCUAAAACCUUUGUGGGGCUCGGUGAGGGAGGAGGAGGGUAUAGUGACUAUAGCAGACUGACAGGUCGUGAUAAACUGAUAUGUCAGUCUUACCAAACCAAUUUCAUUAAUACAGAUUGAAUUUUGUAAUAUGUAAAGGUGGUCAUAUACUCUUUACUCUUUUACUUGUUUCAGUCAUUUGACUGCGGCCAUGCUGGAGCACCGCCUUUAAUCGAGCAACUCGACCCCGGGAUUUAUUCUUUUGUAAGCCCAGUACUUAUUCUAUCGGUCUCCUUUGCCGAACCGCUAAGUAACGGGGACAUAAACACACCAGCAUCGAGUGUCAAGCAAUGCUAGGGGGAUAAACACAGACACACAAACACAGACACACACACACACACAUAUAUAUAUAUAUAUAUAUAUAUAUAUAUACAUACAUAUAUACGACGGGCUUCUUUCAGUUUCCGUCUACCAAAUCCACUCACAAGGCUUUGGUCGGCCCGAGGCUAUAAUAGAAGACACUUGCCCAAGGUGCCACGCAGUGGGACUGAACCCGGAACCAUGUGGUUGGUAAACAAGCUACUUACCACACAGCCACUCCAACAAACAGGGGUCAUAAGAGAAGAUGACUUAUGAAACAAUAUACUAUCUGAUAUGUAUUCAUUGCAUUGUAAUACUUUUUUUCUUUUCAUAUAUUGUAUUAAUGUAUAUUGGAGAUAAUCACAUCUUCAUAGUAUUUGGCGGAAUUAGAAGCUUCAAUUUGAAAUUAAGGGAAAAGUUGCAUAGAAUACACAUCUUUUAUGGUUGGGUUUUGGUUUGGUUAUCUAUUUGUUUGCAUUCUUGUUAAUCAUUCUCAGAAAAUCUUUUAUUUAGAGGAUUAUUUGUAUUUUCAAUCCUCACAUUCUGCUUAUUUUCAUACCAAAUAUUCAUAUUUGUAUCGUUUCUUUAUUUCCUUUAGAAAUAUAUUGUCAUCAAUUUGUUCACACAAUGAGUAGAAGACAUCUUGUUUUUUUUUCCCUGAAGGGCUUCCGUAACAAUAUCUGGAUGAAUUUCCUUAAUCUCCCUGACUGCAUGAAUUGGCUUGUCUUUUGUCAUUCUAAGAGACUUUUUAAAAUGUAUGUUUGUACCAUCACUUUCCCGUGAGUAGUUUAUGAAGUUGGCAUCAUUUCCACAUCACUACUCUAUCUCACACUCUAUCAUAUCUGUGUGUGCAUGUGCAUGCAUGAACAUGCGUGUGUGUGUGUAUAUAUAUAGGUGAGAAGUUCCAGACAGUAUUUAAUGCUGAGGAGCAAGUGUUGUUUAUGGUUAUUGCAGCCGUCAUUUCACAUUUUGUAAUCAAAUUUCAUAUUCCCAGUCGUCAAACUGGACAUUCUUCCUGUGUAUGGAACUCCCAGUGGCAUCAUCCUUGGAAAUUGGGAAGAAACAAUUGGCGACAUUAUUUCUGGCAAAUACUGACCAACUGUAGCCAAUGUGAUUAAUUGUUUCUUCCUAAUUUUCACACAUUCUACAGUAAUAGAAAAGAAAAAGAAAAGAAGAAACAGAUAUUCCAUUAAUUUCAUCCAGACUGUAAUUACUUUCCAUCUGUAAGAAAUUCUGUUUCAUUAAAUGCAUAUAAUGGUUUGUGGAGGGCAGGCUUUUAUUUGGUACCACAAUCAAGAAUCCUUCAAUCUUAGGUUCAUGUCUUGCACUUCUCAACCAGUUUGGCAAAUUUUUUUUUGUUUAUUUCUCUAUUCUUAAUUUUUUUUUUUUUUCUUUCUCAAAUAUCAGCUUCAUGGCCAUCCUGCAGAACUUGGAAGUUCAUACAGGUGCACAAAUAGCUAUGUGGUGAGAAAUUUGUUUCACUACCAUGUUGUUUCAAAUUCAGUCCUACUAUUUGGCACCUUGGGCAAGCAUCUUCUGUUAUAUCCUUUGGCUAAUCAAAGCCAGGUAGGUGAAUUUGGUUAAUGGAAACUGAAAGAAGCCCAUCAUAUAUAUCAUCGUCAUCAUUUAUUAUCCACCUUCCAUGCUGAGCUAGUCAGGCAGAAGUCUGCAUCAGACUUCUGUGACUGUUUUGGCAGAAUUUUUACAGCUGGCUGCUCUUCCUAACUUAGCAGAGUGAAUUUAAUGCUUUUUAUGUUGCACAAGCACAGGUGAGGUCAGUUUUGGCAAGGUUUUUACAGCUGGAUGCCCUAAACUCUGACCCAUGCAAGUAUAGAAAAAUGAACAUUAAAGGUGAUGAUGGUGUAUUGACAUAACAAUGUACAUAAUUCUGCAGGAAGUAAUGGGUCUAGCCUCAUAUAAGCAUGGAAUCCUUGCAAUUGGAAUUUUUUUUAUUGUUGUUGGUAUUGCAGUUCCUAUAUUUGGAUGUGAAGGCUGUCUUGCUUCCAUGCGUUUAUAAGAUUGAUUUUAUUUCUGUGAAUGAUUCAUUUUAUGACUGUCUAAGUUGGUAGUGCUCAACUUUUAUAAUAUCCAGGCCAAAUCCAAAACUAGAAUGUUUCUUUUUUGUGGGGUGGGGCUGCACCAAAAAAAGUAAAACAAGUCAGUUAAAGAAAAAUUUAUAUUCAUAUGUGGUCUAGUUUGUAGGAUUCCUGGCUUUCACCCAGGUAGCCCAAGUUUGAUUCCUGGCAUGGGAACGCAUAUCUUAUAGGCACAGGCGUGGCUGUGUGGUAAGUUGCUUGCUUACCAACCACAUGAUUCCGGGUUCAGUUCCACUGCGUGGCACCUUGGGCAAGUGUCUUCUACUAAAGCCUCAGGCUGACCAAAGCCUUGUGAGUGGAUUUGGCAGACAGAAACUGAAAGAAGCCCAUUGUAUAAAUGUAAAUGUAUAUAUGUGUGUGUGUGUGUGUAUAUAUGUUUGUGUGUCUGUGCUUGUUCCUCCUACAUCGAUUGACAACUGAUGCUGGUGUGUUUACAUCCCCGUAACUUAGCAGUUUGGCAUAAGAGACCAAUAGAAUAAGUACUAGGCUUACAAAGAAUAAGUCUUGGGGUCAAUUUGUUUGACUAAAGGCGGUGCUCCAGCAUGGCCGCAGUCAAACGGCAGAAACAAAUAAAAGAAUAAAAAAAAUAAAAGCCUUCAUAGAGAGAAGACCAUUGGGGGCUGCUGGAAGGAAGCUUGAGGGCUGUGUGCCUCCCCAGGAGCAGCAGUUGAGAACCACUGAUCUAGACUUUAUUCAUUUACCAAUAAAUUUUAAGAAUUAAAGAAUAUCAACAGCAUGAGAUAAUAGUUGCAAAGGAACUGUAACAGAUCCCACAUGUACUUAAUCUUGUGUUCUUACUUAGUUUGUUUGGAUUUAGUAUGUCAUUCACACUGUUAAAUUACAAAGUUCUUCAUUAUUAUUAUUAUUAUUAUUAUUAUUAUUAUUAUUAUUAUUGUUAUUAUUAUUUGAUAAUAAUAACUAACUUACAAUGGUGUCAUUUUGAAAUUUACUGUCUUGCAAAAGAAUACAUAAGGUAAAAUUGAAAUUGUUCAGAUCUCACCUUGCAUUUGGGAGUAUAAUUUAGAUUGUAUUAGAAAUAUAUAAACAUCAAUGGAAUUUGUAUCUUUGUGGUACCAGUGCCGGUGGCACACAAGAAAACCAUCCGAACGUGGCCGUAGCCAGUACCACAUCGACUGGCCUCCGUGCAGUGGGCACGUAACAAACACCAUCCGAUCGUGGCCGUUCACCAGCCUCAUCUGGCACCUGUGUCGGUGGCACAUAAAAACACCAUCCGAGCGUGGCCGUCUGCCAGCCUCGUCUGGCACCUGUAUCGGUGGCACAUAAAAAACACCAUCCGAGCGUGGCCGUUCGCCAGCCUCGUCUGGCACCUGUGUCGGUGGCACAUAAAAUCACCCACUACACUCUCGGAGUGGUUGGCGUUAGGAAGGGCAUCCAGCCGUAGAAACACUGCCAGAUCUGACUGGGCCUGAUGAAGCCUUCAAGCUUCACAGACCCCAGUUGAACCGUCCAACCCAUGCUAGCAUAGAAAACGGACGCUAAAUGAUGAUGAUGAGUUUCAGGCAAAUUUCUUCUGCAUCACCUGCUACACUUCCAUGCUUUUUAUUAUUAUUAUUAUUAUUAUUAUUAUUAUUAUUAUUAUUAUUAUUAUUAUCAUUAUUACUAUUAUUAUUGUUGUUGUUGUUGUUGUACCUGUGUGUGUGCACGUGCGCUCUUGUGUGUGUCUGUAGCACAAUACAUUCGGUGCCAGACUGGUAUACUGCUAAAAAUGUAUUGGAUAAUAAUUCUAUUUCUUACAUGAAAGAUAAAUUUCCAAGAGUAAUCCAAUAAUGUUCUUUUAAACCGAACAUACCUUCAUUAAGAACAGUUUCUGACUACAUUCUCCAUCUGGAAACACCAGGUAUGCCAUUAUUUUAUAUCGCCUGUAUCAAGCAGAAUACAGGAUCUUUUUAUAUAACACUUGUUACAAUGUGCUUCAAAUUCUUAUUUGAUUGUACCUUUUCCACCUUGUCCCAAAUCAUUUGACUAAUACUCCACUAAUACUCCGUGACGGUGGCACGUAAAAUACACCAAUCCGACCGUACGACAGGCACCCAUGCCAACCCCCUUUGCUUGCGAAGACAUGUUGGGGCAAGUGAAAUCGAAUUGAACCAGCCAGGAUCCCUGGUCUGGUGGUACGUAAAAAGCACUAUCCGACUCGUGGCCGAUGCCAGCACCGCCUCGACUGGCUUCCGUGCCGGUGGCACAUAAAAUACACCAAUCCGACCGUGGCCGUUGCCAGCCUCGCCUGGCACCUGUGCAGGUGGCACGUAAAAAGCACCCACUACACUCACGGAGUGGUUGGCGUUAGGAAGGGCAUCCAGCUGUAGAAACAUUGCCAGAUAAGACUGGAGCCUGGUGCAGCCUUCUGGCUUCCCAGAUCCCCGGUCGAACCGUCCAACUCAUGCUAGCAUGGAGAACGGACGUUAAACGAUGAUGAUGAUGAUGAUGAUGAUCUUCCCAUCAUUGUGUGGGCUCUUCUUGUGGGUUUUUAAAAAUUUUUUUCCUGAUUUCUUGUAUAUCAUUUAGCUAAGAUGCAAAGAGCCAUGGAAAGAUCCAUGCUAGUGAUAUCACUGUGAGAGCAUAUCUGAAAUGAGUUAGUAUGAAAAAAGUAGACAAGUGGAUAAUGUGAUUGAAGAAUAUUAGAAUAUGUACAAGUUCUAAUGGGCCAGCUUGGAGGUGCAAUGGCCCAGUGGUUAGGGCAGUGGACUCACGGUCAUAGGAUCGCGGUUUCGAUUCUCAGACUAGGCAUUGUAAGUGUUUAUUAAGUGAAAACACCUAAAGCUCCACAUGUCUCUUGCACGUGGAGCUUUAGGUGUUUUUUCUCACUCUUCCUUCCCGUUUCUGUUGUACCUGUAUUUCAAAGGGCCAGCCUUGUCGCAUUCUGUGUCAUGCUGAAUAUGCCUGAGAGUUGCAUUAAGGGUACACGUGUCUGUGGAGUGCUCAGCCACUUCCACAUUAAUUUCACGAGCAGGCUGUUUCAUUAGUCAGAUCAACUGGAACCCUCGUCGUCGUAACCGACGGAGUGUCAUGAUUAGGCCAGACAUGUCACAAAGUUUGCAAACAACAGGUGGACCCAUUUAGUAGCUGAGUUGUUAGCACACACACACAUGCAUCCACACAGUACACUCUGUAAAGUGAUUGGUGUUAGGAAGGACAUCCAGUCAUAGAAACCAUGCGAAAACAAACAGUUGAAGUCUGAUGAAGCUCUCUGGCUUGCCAGCUCCUAUCAACUCAUAUCAGCAUGAAAACCGGAUGCUAAAUGAUGAUGACGACAUGUAGUGAGAGACAGAAACAGUCAUGUGUGUGUGUGUGUGUGUGUGUGUGUGUGUGUGUGUGUGUGUAUCUGUGUGUCUUCACAUAGACGCUCUGAGCAUUGAUGCAUCGUUCAUGUCUCACAUGAUCAGUAUGUUCUGUAGCCCAGCAAUUUCAUUUGAAGACCAAUGGGGUGGGGCAGAAGAACUAACAGUACCUUACUUGCAAAACAAGCGCAGGUUUGCAGCAGGAAAGGCAUCCAGCCAUUGAAUGUUGUCUCAGUACAUCUCACCUAACACUUGCCAAGGUGGAAAAAGCAAAUAUAAAAGAACAAUAGCAGAGUGUAUCGAGGACCCCAUAAGCCAACGUGCCCCUUGAGGGAGACUUGACUGCCAUUUCUCUAGUUGGUUCAUCAACUAUUCUGAGCAUCAUCCAGUCGCGUGUGGAAAGAGAGAAUGUAAUAUUCUAAGUUGGUGCAAGUGUAUAAAGUUUUCCAUCUACCUGUUAUGUAUAUAUAAGUGUGUUUCAGUGUGUAUGUAUCACAUCUAUGUGUAUUUAUCUAUGAGUAUGUGCAUGUGUGUGUUCAUAUAUGGCCAAUUAAUUUCCAUGUUAAUCCAACCCAACCCUUGUACAAAAGAAAAAUCCCGGAACUUAUUAAUUUAAUUAACCACAAUGAACUAAUUUCUUUUCUUCAUAAAGCUAACCCCAUCACCACCACCACUACCACCAUAGCCACCACCAACACCAUCACCCCCCCACCACCAUCACACCCAUCACCACCACCACGACUACUACUAGUACUUCCGAGACAUUACUACAGCAACUAAUCACCUUUUCCUCACCACCACCACCACAUGACCACAACCACAAAAUCACCGCCAACACCAUCACACCCACUACCACCACCACCACCGUAACUACUACAGCACUUCCGAGACAUUGUUACAGCAACUAAUCACCUCUUCCUCACUACCACCAUAACUUAAACCACCUCCACCAUCACCACCACUUUUACUACUUUCUCUACCACUCUUGCUACCUCCACCUUAACUAUCAUUGACUCCUCUUCCGCCAUCAUCAAGAGACCACAAUCGAAACCACCUCCACCAUCAUUAAUACUUUCACUGGUGCUAUGACCUUGCUUUUAUCCUCACAGCCACCACCACCACCACCACAACCGGCAAAUCCACUAUUAAUAUUGCUAUCACUACUGCCACCAUUACCACCACUAUCACUAUCAUCACCACCACCACCACCACCACCAGCAAAUCCACUAUUAAUGUUUGCUAUCACCACCACCAUUGCCAUCACUACUACUGCCACCACUAUCACCAUCACCACCAUCAUCACCAGCAAAUCCACUAUUAAUAUUGCUACCACCAGUACCAUCGCCACCACCACUAUCACUACCUCCACCAUCACCACCUCCAUCACCAUCACCAUCACCACCAUCACCACCACCUUUCGUCCCUGUCACCCUCUCAUUUCCCCAUGCUGUUCUCGGUACUGAAUUCUGUUUGAUAUUGUUUGGACAGUUAAAAGUCUUUCAAGUCUUAGAGAAACUGUCUUCAUCACUUUCGGAAUUGGUUAAAUUGGUAAACUUAAUUAAUUCGACAUUUAUUUAUUUAUUUAAGGUUUGUUGGGAGUUUUUGCAUUUUCUUUUUCUCUUUUGUUUUCCAUUUCAUGUUUAUUUUUUUUAUAUAGAAUUUGUUUAAAUAUAUUUUUAUUUAUUUAUUUGUAGGAUCACUUCAAUUUUUUUUAUUUAUUUAUCUAUUCAUUUGUUCUGGUCCAUUGUCUUCAUUUUCUGUCUGCCUUCCAUUCUGUCACAGGUUGGAUGAAUUGUCACCAUCCAAGUCAGUUCUUACUUGGAAUUAAUACUUGCCUAAAUGUGUCUGAGGACAUGUCGCACUUGUACUUUCCAUUUGUUACAUAGUUUCUUUAUCGUCAUCAUCAUCACCAUUUAGCAUAUGCUUUCCAUGCUGGCAUGGGUUGGACAGUUUGACCAAAGCUGGCAAGUUGGAGAGCUGCCUCAGGUUCUAGUCAUGUGUUUGGGCCUGGAUUCUAUGGCGGGAUGUCUUUCCUAAUGCCAACCACAUUACAGAGUGUUCUGGGUGCUUUUUAUGUGGAACCAGCACCAGUGCAUUUUACAUGGCACCAACACUGACAGGGUCAACAAGUAACUUACGAGACAAAAUCCCUCUCAACUGGGACAAGGGAGUUGUAGUGGCGAUGGUGGUGGUGGUGGGGUGCUUUUAUACCAGUUGAUGAGAGAUUAGAGAUAAUAGGGGGACAGAGGUUGGUGUUUUACUGUGGAGCAGAUACUCUGGAUGAAAAAGAAAAGGGGUGAGUUAGGGAGUAAGAAAGAGAGCAGGUGUGUCAGAAAGUAGGAUAAGGAGAGCAAUAUUGAGAAAGAUUGUGGUAAAGAUGUGCCUGGGGUGACCCUUGAGGGACAUUGGGUUGGGGAGUGGGGAAAAUAGGUUGAGGUGAUACAGAGAGGCAUGUCAGUGUAAAGAGCUUUUUCUUCACUUUCUGCUUGUUUCUUCUCCCUCUUUUAUUUCUUUCUUUUCAUCUCAUCAUUCAUAUUUUUUAUAGCUGCAUGGUUAUGAAGCUGCCUUCUCAACCCUAUGGUAGUGGGUUCGAUCCCACCAUGUGUCACCUUGAGCAAGUGUCUUCUAUUACAGCAAUGCUUCUUAAACUUUUUUCAUUCAUGACCCCAUUUUUCAUCAACAGAUUUUUUGUGACCCCAGGUUUUAAAUAUGUCUUUGUGAAAUAACAUAUAAACUGAAAUUCAAGUGUUUGAAUUUAAUUUUCACGACCCCAGGAUUUUACUUUGCAACCCCAAAUGGUGUCGUGACCCAUAAUUUAUGAAGCACUGUAUUAUAGCAUUUGUCCUUCCGUUUCAUAAUCUUUAUACCAUCUGAUUCUUCUUUACCAACUGUCUCACCUUAUUACAGUUUCUUGACAGUGAUACUUUUAGGAUUUCUAUUUCUGUUACUUCUCAAUAUACCACAUACGUCAUCAUCAUCAUCAUCGUUGUUGUUUUAAGUCUAUUUUCCAUGCUGGCAUGGGUUGGACGGUUUGAUUGAGGACUGGCAAGCCAGUAGGCUGCACCAGGUUCCAAUCUGAUCUAGCAAGAUUUCUACAGCUGGAUGCCCUUCCUAACACCAACCACUCUGAGAGUAUAGUGGGUGAUUUUUAUAUGUGCCACUGGCACGGUGACAUAUGUUUGUUUUUCAAGGAGAAAUCUUGUUGUUGCUACACAAGAAUAAAGAUUAUCUAUGAACAGCAUGUGACCUUCUCUCAACCAUUCUUUUAUAAAUGAAACAGUGAUGAAUUCAAAAUGUAUUAAACCAGGACCUGUAUCUUCUUUGCCUUUGUACAAUAUAAGCUUCCAGAUAUAGCCAUCAAUUGAACACAGUUUAUAAAAUUUCAGGUUAUAUAAUUUUAGGUAUGUAUUGCCACAAAAUUGUUCCACCACGAAACAGCACUAGACUUACAUCAAUUACAACUUUUUCACCCGGAGUGAACUUCUCAGAAUUUUCAGACAUCAAUUUGAUAAGUAGCCAUAAUUUGCACAAGCAAUCAGUAACAUCUGAUUGACUGUUUGCAAGCAUAAUGCAGGAACCAUAGAAUUAAUUCAAAUUUAUGUCUAGACAUAGUAUGCUGUAUCAGUUUAACUCCAUACAUUUUGCUUUAGACCAAUACCCUUCAAAUGCUGGCUAUUUGUUCAAAUCCAUCAAAGUUAUAAUUUCUAAGCGUGGGUGUGUUGUAAGAAGAUUGCUUCCCAACCAUAUGGUUCCGUGUUCAGUCUCACUGUAUAGCACAUUGGAUCAAUGUCUUUCACUAUAGCCUUGGGCUGACUAAAGCCUUGUGAGUGGAUUCGGUAGAUGGAAACUGAAAGAAGCCCAUCAUAUAUAUAUAGGCAUAUAUUUAUUUGUGUGUGUCUUUGUGUCCAUGUUUUUUUCCCACCACCACCACUUGAUAGCUGAUGUUGGUGUGUUUACAUCCCUGCAACUUAGCAGUUUGACAAAAGAAACUGAUAGAAUAAGUACUAGGCUCAAAAAAGCCCUGGGGUUGAUUCGUUCAACUAAAGCCUUUCAAGGCUGUGCCCCAGCAUGGGCACAGUCAAAUGACUGAAACGAGUAAAAAAUAAAAGAUAAAAGAUCUGCUGAUAUACCCUCCAGCCUUCAUCAGGUGUCUUGGAGAAAUUUCGAACCUGGGUUCUCAUUCCUAAGGUAUUUUUCGAUGUUGUUGUUAUUAUUAUUAUUAUUAUUAUUAUUAUUAUUAUUAUUAUUAUUAUUCAGGUCGCUGCCUGGAAUUGAACUCGG